GCCCUGGUGGCACAACGGUUAAGUGCUCUGCUGCUAGCCAAAAGAUUGGUGGUCCAAACCCACCCCAUGGCU
RNAcentral lists this transfer RNA (72 nucleotides) under Loxodonta africana (African savanna elephant). It matches the Rfam family "tRNA". From Rfam's summary of the family: Transfer RNA (tRNA) molecules are approximately 80 nucleotides in length. Their secondary structure includes four short double-helical elements and three loops (D, anti-codon, and T loops). The record is from Rfam by way of RNAcentral. Lineage: Eukaryota; Metazoa; Chordata; Mammalia; Proboscidea; Elephantidae.